UACGUAGGGUGCAAGCGUUGUCCGGAAUUACUGGGCGUAAAGGGUUCGUAGGUGGCUUGCUAAGUCAGACGUGAAAUCCCUCAGCUUAACUGGGGAACUGCGUCUGAGACUGGUGAGCUUGAGUGCAGGAGAGGAACGCGGAAUUCCAGGUGUAGCGGUGUAAUGCGUAGAUAUCUGGAGGAACACCGGUGGCGAAGGCGGCGUUCUGGACUGCUACUGACACUGAGGAACGAAAGCCAGGGGAGCAAACGGG
RNAcentral lists this ribosomal RNA (253 nucleotides) under uncultured bacterium. RNAcentral describes it as "partial 16S ribosomal RNA". It matches the Rfam family "Bacterial small subunit ribosomal RNA", at positions 524 to 776 of the family's 1533-position model. The record is from RNAcentral.